Kryptolebias marmoratus (mangrove rivulus) is the source of this 945-nucleotide non-coding RNA. Lineage: Eukaryota; Metazoa; Chordata; Actinopteri; Cyprinodontiformes; Rivulidae. The record is from Ensembl.
UAAAAGUUUGGUCCUGACUUUACCAUCAGCUCUGGCUAAAUUUACACAUGCAAGUAUCCGCACCCCCGUGAGAAUGCCCUGCUUUUCUUCAUGAAAAAAAGGAGCUGGUAUCAGGCACAACUUCUUAGCCCAUAACGCCUUGCUUAGCCACACCCCCAAGGGAACGCAGCAGUGAUAAACCUUAAGCAAUAAGUGUAAGCUUGACUUAAUGAAAGCCAAAUAGAGCCGGUUAAUUUCGUGCCAGCCACCGCGGUCAUACGAAUGGCUCAAGUUGAUGGUCCCCGGCGUAAAGCGUGGUUAAAGACCCCUCCCCCACUAAAGCCGAACGCUCUCAUAGCUGUUAUACGUCUUAGAAAGUAUGAAGCCCCCCCACGAAAGUGACUUUAAUACCCUUGAACCCACGAAAGCUGUGACACAAACUGGGAUUAGAUACCCCACUAUGCACAGCCGUAAACCUUAGCUAACCCCUACAUAAUUAGCCCGCCAGAAGAUUACAAGCAUAAGCUCAAAACUCAAAGGACUUGGCGGCGCUUUAAACCCAUCUAGAGGAGCCUGUCCUAUAACCGAUAAUCCCCGUUAAACCUUACCUUCUCUUGCUCCCAGCCUAUAUACCGCCGUCGUCAGCCCACCCUGUGAAGGCCCACUAGUAGGCAAAACUGGUCCAGCCCAAAACGUCAGGUCGAGGUGUAGCAUAUGAGAAGGAAAGAGAUGGGCUACAUUUCCUACACAGGGAACCACGGAUAGUACAAUGAAAUGUGUACAUUGAAGAAGGAUUUAGCAGUAAGUAAAAAAUAGAGUGUUUUACUGAAACCGGCCCUAAAGCGAGCACACACCGCCCGUCACUCUCUCCUAGUCUACCGCCCCAACCCUACAUAAAAAGCCUUACCAGCAAAGGAGAGACAAGUCGUAACAUGGUAAGUGUACUGGAAAGUGCACUUGGAUAAA